CCUUAACUCUUUGCUUUUUCAUCUCUUUUCUCCUAUGGAAGUGCUUCUAUUGGCUAGAUUAGAUUUGGUCCAAUGGUGACUAGGUGUGCAUGAUUUAGUAUUUCAGAAGUGAUUGUUUGCCUAUGAUGUUCUUGCUUUUUCUCCCUCAAUUACUACUCUAACUCCAGCUCUAGAGUGAUUGGCGAAGCUACUAUGUGGUCAUAUUGGUUUUCUUGUUUCUGUGGACAAUAAAUUUCAAUGGUUUUGCUGGGUUGGUGGUGGUUUUCCUAAGGUUAGGUUUGAGUUAAGAUUACUGUUUGGGAUUGGUUUGGG
This 312-nucleotide unclassified non-coding RNA is filed under the name Hevea brasiliensis (rubber tree). Lineage: Eukaryota; Viridiplantae; Streptophyta; Magnoliopsida; Malpighiales; Euphorbiaceae. The record is from RNAcentral.